CAGUAAUAGUGAAUGGAUUGAACCUUGAAUGCUAUAUCGACGUUCAGUGGCUGGGGAACAAAGUGAAUGAGAGAUGAUACGAAGGACACAUGGAUCCAGCAGGAUGCAUAUGGAACAAGACUGUGUUUUGGCUCGGACACACAUCCUUUGAAAAUGAACGGUGUCUGUUGAAGCUCCUGUGGUGUCUGCUGGGAUAGCCAUGUUUACCAGCCUCCACCUCAGGCUCUUCCCCACUGAGAGCUUCAUGCCCAACAAGGGUGUUGCACACCGAAUCCCCCUGAUUCAGGAGCUCACAUAAACAACCUACGGGCAGCACCUCCUCUCCCCAGACUGUCCCCGGUUACUAAGAUCUCUAUACUGCUCCCCUGAAGAACACCUCCAGAUUUCUCCAGAAGUCACCUUAAGUAAUACCACAUCCUUGUAGACCUGCUGAUGGAGCCCCCUUCUGUUCCUUGAAUACCUGCAGGAUUUCCGUCACCUAAUCUCCCAUGAUUAGCCUUUGCCACUGGGUCCAGGUCAUUAAUCCCGUCUCCUACACUGAGUGACAAUAAUCUCUGCUCACUGGGCAGGAGAGCCAGCUCCAUUUGUCACUCUGUCACCCAAUGGCUCUCACAUGGGAGAGGACAAGGACCAUUUAUCUGUGGAAUGUGCUGCAGUAACUGCAGGGCCGGCAAAUUAAAGAAAAAAAAAUCCAUCCUUCCUCAGGAUUGUACGGUGAUUUGGAGCGAAGAUAAAAGCUUGAUUCCUCCUUUUUUGCGAUGAGUGUACAACGUAUUUGUCAUUAAAUAUAAUGUCAGUCAUCAAUGUAUUUUUGUCUGAUACAGCAUAUUCAAGGUGAAGCAAGUUUUGUGUCA
Rhinichthys klamathensis goyatoka is the source of this 854-nucleotide long non-coding RNA. RefSeq lists it as uncharacterized. NCBI's taxonomy places the organism in Eukaryota, Metazoa, Chordata, Actinopteri, Cypriniformes, Leuciscidae. The transcript is spliced from 3 exons. The record is from RefSeq and is a predicted model, not a curated record.